Molecule: long non-coding RNA, 232 nt
Organism: Scleropages formosus (Asian bonytongue)
Lineage: Eukaryota; Metazoa; Chordata; Actinopteri; Osteoglossiformes; Osteoglossidae
Exons: 3
Source: RefSeq, a predicted model, not a curated record
CUGAAACUUCGUCACCGCAGAGACACACAGGACUUGUGCUCUUCAAUACGGACAAUAAGGUGACAUAACAGAGCCCUGAGAUGGAGGACUCUGCCUUAGAGAUGAGUCCCUCUGGGAACGAUAAGGAGGGGGUCACUGACUCGGAAAAGAGUUUUAAAAGCGUCCAGCAGGGGAGAUCAAUGUCACCUGUACCCAGCUGUAUAUCCAUGGAGAGUGACAAGUCAUUGGACUU